Molecule: transfer RNA, 69 nt
Filed under: Granulicella mallensis
Lineage: Bacteria; Pseudomonadati; Acidobacteriota; Terriglobia; Terriglobales; Acidobacteriaceae
Description: tRNA-OTHER
Source: RNAcentral
CCCUGAAAAGAGGGAAUCCCUAACUGUUAACCGAAGGGGUUGUAGGUUCGAGUCCUACCUCAGGAGCCA